This 252-nucleotide unclassified non-coding RNA is filed under the name Hevea brasiliensis (rubber tree). Lineage: Eukaryota; Viridiplantae; Streptophyta; Magnoliopsida; Malpighiales; Euphorbiaceae. The record is from RNAcentral.
AUGAGCUUGACUUGGAGAUGCACUUGAGUUUCACGUGCAGUAAACAGAAAGCCAUUGGAAGCAGAGGGGUGGCUGACCGUUUCAUGGAAAGGUCACCAACUAGUGCUUCUAGAGAUCAAAAUCCUCUAAACAAUGGAACUCCAAAUAGAACCACCCAGCAUAGUGAUUCAGGUGCCACUGCAAGGAUUUUGUCCAGCGAUGAAGAAACUGGAAAUGGCGUUGAUGAUUUGGAAGACCAGUCUCUUAUAGAAA